UUGAGAGAUUAGAAUGUGAAAGAUCCCCAACACAAAAUGAGUCUGUACCUACCACACAACUCUUUCCUAUAGGCCUUCCUCAAAUGCCUUGCGGUAAUUCUCUGAAGACUAUGGUUAAGGCAGUAGAGCUGAAGUAGAUCCUUCCAAGAUUCCUGACCUUCACCAAGCACACCACAGGAAUUUCCAAAGCCUGAGGAUGGAGCAUGAGAACUAAGGACCAUCAUCAAGCACGAAGCAACAGUUGCCAAAGUUUGGAGAAUCUGUCAAGGGUGGAGAGAAGCUAUACCAAAGGACCUCACGUCCAAGCUCAUCUCUGGUGGGAGAAGAUCAGGGAUGAGGUCCCAGUUAUCUCUGGAUAUAUCCUCAGUUAUAUAAAAGGAUAAAAGAUCAAUAAGGGUGCCUAAGUACAACUUCCAAGCAAAGAAGAUUCUUUUCAUUAAAAGCCAAGGCCAAAUUCCAAAAACCAAGCUUCAGUUUCUCUUAUUUUGUUUCUUUGAGUUAAGCCCAAGCUCAUAGGUCAUAUUUUGACACAAACAUUGGCCUUUUGGUCAUGAGAAACAGCAAACAUGCAUUACAAGGUAAGGAAUGGGAUAGUCAACCUUAGGAAAAUACAGGAGAAAGGGAAUGUUGUAUGGCAGUGGUACAUUAGUUCCACCUGGUCAGUGGACUGGACCAAGUCCACCAACUAUCUGUUGCCUGUC
This is a long non-coding RNA of Felis catus (domestic cat), 701 nucleotides long. RefSeq lists it as uncharacterized. The transcript has 3 exons. Lineage: Eukaryota; Metazoa; Chordata; Mammalia; Carnivora; Felidae. The record is from RefSeq and is a predicted model, not a curated record.